RNAcentral lists this long non-coding RNA (212 nucleotides) under Elaeis guineensis (African oil palm). RNAcentral describes it as "long non-coding RNA (EGUI_LNC008999)". The record is from RNAcentral. Lineage: Eukaryota; Viridiplantae; Streptophyta; Magnoliopsida; Arecales; Arecaceae.
UCGACAUCAUCAGGGGUAUUAAAAGAUUCGUUCAACACUUGAAGCAUCUGCUCAAGCUGUGCAUCCUCAAAUUUAUGACUAAAUUCUUCAUUCAACGCUGCCCUCAUGAUGCAUCGCACUGUGGUUUGGUCAUUUAGCCACUUCUGAUAAGUAUCUCUGACCGCACUACGUGCGUUGGGUGCAGGUUCUUCAGGUGCAGGAUCUGUAAGGAC